UACGAAGGGGGCUAGCGUUGCUCGGAAUUACUGGGCGUAAAGCGCACGUAGGCGGCUUCUUAAGUCGGUGGUGAAAUCCUGGAGCUCAACUCCAGAACUGCCUUCGAUACUGGGAAGCUCGAGUCCGGGAGAGGUGAGUGGAACUGCGAGUGUAGAGGUGAAAUUCGUAGAUAUUCGCAAGAACACCAGUGGCGAAGGCGGCUCACUGGCCCGGUACUGACGCCGAGGUGCGAAAGCGUGGGGAGCAAACAGG
This 253-nucleotide ribosomal RNA is filed under the name uncultured bacterium. RNAcentral describes it as "partial 16S ribosomal RNA". It matches the Rfam family "Bacterial small subunit ribosomal RNA", at positions 524 to 776 of the family's 1533-position model. The record is from RNAcentral.